UGGUCCUAGGCGCGCCCUGCGGUCCCCCCGACCGCCCAGCAGGGUCUGAUGGCUCGAAGCAUCCCCGAGAGGCCCCCACGGCACGCCACCUCGGGACAGACGUCUCGAAAUGCUCUUUACCUGCGAGGAGCCCAGAAAGACAGAUACUUCAUAUUCUUUAUGACAAUUAGUUGACCCGUUGCGCCAAAUGGCGCAGAGACCCGCUAAAGCCAUGUUGUCGAUGAAAAUAGUUUCAUUUUGCAAGGACAUAUUCGAUAUUGGUAAUAGAAAACCCAUGUAUUAAAUUAUGCUAUAUUGAAAAUAUGUUUAUCAUGUUGAGAAAUUUGAGUUUGAAAAAAAUCAUACUUGUAUAAUAUGUAUACAACAGUUAAGGAAUCAUUUUUUUAGUUGAAAAUAUGGUUAUCAUCAUGAGAAAUCCGAGUUUGAAAAAAUAAGGACAUGUUUGGAUAAAAUGUAUAGACCAGUUAAGGACGUAUUUUUUUAGUUGUGAUUGUACUGAACUUUUAUUUUCCAUGUGCACGCAAAAGAACCAUCUCCGUGUUGUGCAUAUGGAGGCAUAGGUAUUUGAAAGGCCCAUAUGCUACCUAGCUGAGUCCACGGACAAUUCUGUGUGUGUGGCUCGUCUGGAGUAGAAUAUGAAGCGGUGGGGACUACAUCUAUCGUGCUUGUUUAUCCCCUUUUCUUCCUCGGUUCCUCAUUUAAGCAAGAGAAGCAUUUCCAAAGACACGUACUCAACUGGUGAGAUUUCUCCUUUCCUACUAUUUCGGAUUUCGGAUUUCUCUGCAUGCACUGUUUUUUUAUUGAAGGAUAGUACCGAUCUUACCUUGGGCUGGCAGCCCUCCGGGUGGCAUCAGUUGCCAAAGGAGAGAUCAAUAGGAAUCAAAACACAGAUGAUUGACUAAAUCACAAAAGCAAAAUUUCAGUCGUUUUUCAUAUAGAGUGGCAGAUCAUAGCAUUGCUGAAAUGGACUAAAAUUAAGGAGAACGGAUGAGGACAAAAAUGAUGUAAAAUCAGGUCUGGGUUUAAAAUGGGCAUAAGUAGUACAAUACUAGCUUCAGUAGAACUGUAUCGUAAUGCACAAAGGCUCAGUAACUGCAAUACUAAUUUACUCAAGGAAGAGUUGCACAAUUUACUCAAGUAAGGGGUGCUCAAUUUUGUCAUCAGAACAAACUAUAAUAGGAUGGUGGGAAGUAUAUGUUGAUGCGUACACACCUUCAAAACUAUAACUAUGUACCAAUGCACAAAGGAGUAGCAGCUGCAAUAUUAAUUUACACAAGGAAGAACCGGUCAAUUCUUUCAUCAGAAUAAACUUUAAUAGGAUGGUACAAAUUCUAUAAACCUUGAACGGGUGCAUAGUACCUUCCAAAGCCUAUUAACAUCAAGAUGUAGUAAGGCGAGAGAAUAAUGAUUGUAACUAUCUUUUCCUUCAAACAUUUGAGAAAGCUUAGAGAAUCCGCUCAGCUGCCUUUUCCCCCAAUGUUCUCUUUUCCUUCUUUUAACUGCAAAAAUGAAGUAUGUUCCACACUUUGUUUGGCAGAACAAACUCGAAAAAUCAGUGUUGUUACCGACAGACUUACAUAUUGCAUGAGAGAUUCUGGACGUAUUUAUGCUAACUAAAUUCAGGAAAAUCCCAAAAGCAUGAUAAUUUUGUAGCCUGGUAUAAGCCUCGUUUCAGCCCUCAUGGUGCAUCUCGAAGCCCUACAAUCAAGACCAAAACAUCACUCCAUACUAAAAUCUCUAAACACCAGUUCAUCUAACUAAUCGAGCAAGUAGCAGUCCUGCACUAAAACGCCUAAACACCAGUUUAGUUAUCUAUAUUAUACACAUAUCUGCUACUACAAAAUCUAAAAAAUGAGAAACUGGACCCUCAGCAACAUUGUCCAACGCACACUGCAUGUGGUCUCGGAACCUUGAACCAGGCAAGGAAAGAAGCAAAGCACUUUGUUUUUCUAGAUUCUGUAAAAAAAAUACUUAAGGAGGGUGUAGCUAAGCGGAACAACAAAGAUAAAUAUUUCAAAAAUAUACCCACAGAAUAACUUGGCAUAGGAUAAGAUCUUGCAUGCGAAGCUGGUUUUAGAGACAGAGAAGACUAUGCCUAAUACCCACAGAACUGCUCUAGUAAAUUGCCUAUUGUCUAUCACUACUAACAACACUAUCGGUCAAUUAAGUUACUUCAUCCCAUUAUAAUUGAACAAAAUAAGGAUAAAUAUGCACUUCAAGCCGUCUCAGUCUUUUCUCAAACAAAUAACAUCAGGAUCAUCAUCAGUAAGAAGUGCACACAAAAGUCAUGCCUCAUCAGUUGAUAAAUAAUGAAGCAAUAAUCAGAAUAUAUAAAAUGGGAAUAAAAAUAAAUGGCAGAAAUCAUCCAUCAACAGAGCUAAAAUGGGACGGGAGUGACAUGAGUAUGCUAGAUUGACACUAAAUAGAAAUCUAUAAGCAUGGACACUACUGUAUUAAAAGAAAAUAACAGAAAAAUAUAGAAAUGGUUAAUAUGCUAAUGUUUUCGCCAUAAGAACAAGAAAGGUGUAACAUGAGUAAGGAUCUACGUUAUAAAUGUAUACACUAUACAACUCUAAAAAUAAUUUUAGAAAACUUUCAGUGUCCAACUAUCGGUAUACUUGUUUUCCUCUACAGAGAAGAAAAUUAGAUAGCAAGCUUUCGGUGUCCACCUCAUGUUACCAAGUGAAGUAAACUUUUGCCGUCCAGGUUGGUUGUUAAGUUACUCAUGAAUCGAAUAUAGCUAUAUGAUAACAUUAUCACCUCUUAUUUCAAUUGGUGCAUGUACCCGAGGUCAGAUGCAUGCCUUUGAUUCCUCCCAUAGUUUUUUGUCCGGUCGAUUAGAAUAGUCGCAAGCAUAGCUAAGAACUAACCUAUAGUGGGAGCGAGGUUUGCUAGAAUGCCCUGGCCUAGUGGCAUGCUUGAAUGCUAUGCUGACUGGUGGUGUAAGUUUAGGAAUUAGUUUACUUCUUUAACAAAAUAGGAAAGGCGUGGUUAUAUCAGAGAAAUCAAUGCAAGAAAUUAAAUUGCUUUCCAGGGAACCACUAUUUAAAUUUCCAUACAGAAGUCUAAUCUUCAAUUUGCUUGUAUCUUUAGGACAAAAAUAACUGCAGCUACGAAUCAUCAUCUGUACAUAGGUCCCAAAAAAAGAUAUGAAUCUGGUAACAGAAAUACCUUGCAAUAUCUCUAAUGCAUACUUCAAAUAACAAAUUUCUUCGUCUGGUAACAGAAAUACCUUGCAAUAUCUCUAGUGCAUACUUCAAAUAACAAAUUUCUUCCUUAGUCAUGCAAGUAUCCACAAAGCACUUUCCUUGACGAUGAGCAACCUUACUAACAAUCCUACAAAUAUUGAUUAAAGGAGGAGAAACAAAUAGCAAAAACUUUUAGAUAUUGACAUAGGCAUAGCUUGCGAUGAUUACGAAAUGAGAUAAAAAUGGGAGUGGCCAACUAUUUGUUCUUACACUGAGCAGACCGCCUCAACACAUCAUCAAAGCUACCUUACACCAAGAUAACAUGGAGAUAAAUGUGAAUUGACAGAAACUGAAAUGUUCUGUGAGGAAUAGAAACAGCAGGCUGCUUAUGUAAGAAAAGACCGACAUGCCUAUUUAAAAAUAGACCAGAUAGUAGACAGAUCGUCCAUAUGCACUCACCAUGACAUGAGGAAUGCAGAAACGAUCUCGCAGACACUCCACAACACCAAAGGCCCAACAGGCACCACAAUGACUCUGCCAUUGUUAACCAAUACAUACUAACAUGAGCAUUCGAUUCAGCCGUUACGUAAAAAAGUAAAAAAAUAAUAAUAGUUACUGAACCUAGCAUUGUUAUGGUACCGAUUCAAACUAAACUAAGUACAAAUAAAGAUAACAAAUUUAUCGUAAGUAGAACGCACACGCCUGCUUGAACAACUCUAGCAACCUGUGAUAUGCCAAUCAGGAUACCUCACAAAAUAGCAAAGGGAGGGUCACAUAUCAACCUUUUUUUAAAGCUCAAAGUUGCAAAUGCAUAUGCACAGCACAUCACUUUUUGGUGACAAAUAUGACCAACGGCCAGUGGCCAUAAAUACCGAUCAAGAUCACAAUUCAUUCUACAGGUUACUUAAUUAUCUAUAAGCUUGCUGGUUAUUGAUACCUAUGAGCUUCACAUCAUCGUAAAAGUCUAAAAUAUCACAUCAUGUUUGGUUGAAACAAUAUGCUAAAAUAUGCAGUUUGCGAACCACAACUCUAACAUAUGGGGGAGAAGGUGGUAGCUCACCUGCAGCAAGGAGCUAGCAUCAGCAAAAGUAGGAGCUCAUCCUUUAGCGUACUAUGAACAUGUCGCAGCUGCCUUGCACCUUGAUGCACCGCCGCUGCGCAUGGAAGAUUAACAUCCCAUUGUUCUUGAGAAACUGUACAUAACAAACUACUUGAAUUAAUAUUUUGUAACUGAUCAGCAAGAAGUAGCAAUCAAGUUCUAAUAACGAAGAGCCGAGUCCAGGAUGUCUUACUCCUAUUUCAUACUAACUGUACCUAUUGAGAAAAGCAGAAAUGUGCAGCACACAGGAAGAGAGCAAAACGUGAUGAAAAAGGAAAAGAAGGUUAGAAGGCGAGCAAAGGAGCCGAUCCGAGAUAAGACCACCAGGA
Molecule: long non-coding RNA, 4616 nt
Filed under: Triticum aestivum (bread wheat)
Lineage: Eukaryota; Viridiplantae; Streptophyta; Magnoliopsida; Poales; Poaceae
Description: long non-coding RNA (TAES_LNC003412)
Source: RNAcentral